RNAcentral lists this ribosomal RNA (511 nucleotides) under Seepiophila jonesi. RNAcentral describes it as "partial 16S ribosomal RNA". It matches the Rfam family "Bacterial large subunit ribosomal RNA", at positions 1829 to 2597 of the family's 2925-position model. The record is from RNAcentral. Lineage: Eukaryota; Metazoa; Annelida; Polychaeta; Sabellida; Siboglinidae.
UGCCUUUCGACUUUACUAUGGAAGGUUCAUCCUGCCCAAUGACUCUUAGUUCAAUGGCCGCGGUAUCUUGACCGUGCAAAGGUAGCAUAAUCACUUGCCCCUUAAUUAGGGGCUGGCAUGAAAGGACACACGAAAGCUUCCCUGUCUCACAAUAAUAAAUAAAAAUUAAUCUUUAAGUGAAAAAGCUUAAAUAUAAUUGCAGGACAAGAAGACCCCGUUGAGCUUUAUUCUCUAUAGACCAAUCUAAAUAUUUAUUAUAUCAUAAACCUAAAAAAGAAUUUAGUUGGGGUGACUAAGGAACAUCAUAAACUUCCUCUAUCUAUUUAGGGCUAUUCCCCAAAAAAAUUGACCCACAAACCGUGAUCAAAAAAAUAAGCUACCACAGGGAUAACAGGCUAAUCUUUCUUAAGAGCCCAAAUUGUCAGAAAGGAUUGGCACCUCGAUGUUGGCUUAGGGGCCCCUAAUGGUGCAGAAGCCAUAAAAGGUAGGUUUGUUCAACCUUUAAAACCCU